GAUCGCAGGUAGCUGACUUAGCGA
This 24-nucleotide non-coding RNA is filed under the name Arabidopsis thaliana (thale cress). Lineage: Eukaryota; Viridiplantae; Streptophyta; Magnoliopsida; Brassicales; Brassicaceae. The record is from RNAcentral.